This 675-nucleotide ribosomal RNA is filed under the name Bacillus sp. AT-MI-20. RNAcentral describes it as "bacterial SSU rRNA". It matches the Rfam family "Bacterial small subunit ribosomal RNA", at positions 77 to 735 of the family's 1533-position model. The record is from RNAcentral. Lineage: Bacteria; Bacillati; Bacillota; Bacilli; Caryophanales; Bacillaceae.
AGCUUGCUCUUAUGAAGUUAGCGGCGGACGGGUGAGUAACACGUGGGUAACCUACCCAUAAGACUGGGAUAACUCCGGGAAACCGGGGCUAAUACCGGAUAAUAUUUUGAACUGCAUAGUUCGAAAUUGAAAGGCGGCUUCGGCUGUCACUUAUGGAUGGACCCGCGUCGCAUUAGCUAGUUGGUGAGGUAACGGCUCACCAAGGCGACGAUGCGUAGCCGACCUGAGAGGGUGAUCGGCCACACUGGGACUGAAACACGGCCCAAACUCCUACGGGAGGCAGCAGUAGGGAAUCUUCCGCAAUGGACGAAAGUCUGACGGAGCAACGCCGCGUGAGUGAUGAAGGCUUUCGGGUCGUAAAACUCUGUUGUUAGGGAANAACAAGUGCUAGUUGAAUAAGCUGGCACCUUGACGGUACCUAACCAGAAAGCCACGGCUAACUACGUGCCAGCAGCCGCGGUAAUACGUAGGUGGCAAGCGUUAUCCGGAAUUAUUGGGCGUAAAGCGCGCGCAGGUGGUUUCUUAAGUCUGAUGUGAAAGCCCACGGCUCAACCGUGGAGGGUCAUUGGAAACUGGGAGACUUGAGUGCAGAAGAGGAAAGUGGAAUUCCAUGUGUAGCGGUGAAAUGCGUAGAGAUAUGGAGGAACACCAGUGGCGAAGGCGACUUUCUGGUCU